UUGGUUUUCUUCGGACACUCUUCAAGGUGCUGCAUGGUUGUCGUCAGCUCGUGCCGUGAGGUGUCGGGUUAAGUCCCAUAACGAGCGCAACCCUUACCGUUAGUUACCAUCAGGUUAAGCUGGGGACUCUAGCGGGACUGCCACCGUAAGGUGAGAGGAAGUGGGGAUGACGUCAAAUCAGCACGGCCCUUAUGUUCAGGGCUACACACGUGUUACAAUGGCCAGUACAAAGGGCAGCUACCGGGUGACCGGAUGCUAAUCUCUAAAGCUGGUCUCAGUUCGGAUCGAAGUCUGCAACCCGACUUCGUGAAGCUGGAUUCGCUAGUAAUCGCGCAUCAGCCAUGGCGCGGUGAAUACGUUCCCGGGCCUU
This 370-nucleotide ribosomal RNA is filed under the name uncultured Sphingobacteriales bacterium. RNAcentral's name for it is "bacterial SSU rRNA". It matches the Rfam family "Bacterial small subunit ribosomal RNA", at positions 1010 to 1382 of the family's 1533-position model. Lineage: Bacteria; Pseudomonadati; Bacteroidota; Sphingobacteriia; Sphingobacteriales. The record is from RNAcentral.